Cyprinus carpio (common carp) is the source of this 3053-nucleotide long non-coding RNA. NCBI's taxonomy places the organism in Eukaryota, Metazoa, Chordata, Actinopteri, Cypriniformes, Cyprinidae. The record is from Ensembl.
UUUUAUUGAUAUAUGAAAUAUAGCAUAGGCUAGAUGAGAUGCCAAUGCAUGUCAUUAGAAUUAUAUUACUAUUCAAAAUGUUUAAUGAAAUUGAGAUGUAUAAUUGACUUUUUACUUACAAAUGUAAACAAUUUUAAUAGCAAUAUCAAAGCUUUCGUCAUGCCAAACAACCCAAUACAUUCAUUAAUUUAUUGUUUUAAUACACAGGCCUAUCAUUUCAAUGUAAUACAACAUAAAUAUUUGGAUUUCUGAUCACUGUCUUUCCAAUAAUAACAGCUUUUUUCUGCUAAUAUUCAGCUGAUUAGAUGUGCCAAUCAUAUGGUGAAUUCUUUCUGAAAUGCAUCAUUGUAUUAUUAUACGUAUAAUGGUGUAUAAUGGCUGACGAAAAGGAUGGCCAUCUAGUUCAUCUAGCCUAUACGGCCUUGAUUUUACUGUAAUAAUGUCAUUGUCAUUGGGAAUUAUUAGUCCUCGGUUCUCCUCACCGUCCAAGGGCUAUGUCUUUGCCUUCCUCUUCUUUCCUUUUGAAUCAAGUCCUAGUCACUGGCAGAUCCAAAUACCUUUUAUUCUGUCUGUCAACCUUUCUUUGAAAAAUGUAACACAAUUAUACUUGCAAACUCUUGAUCUUUUAACUAGUUGACAAAUAGGCUUAUGUCUUUUAGAUAACAUCUAAUUACGAUCAUAUUUUUAAAAGUCACGACUUUAAAACAAACAGGAAGGUUUUUGAAGUUAGUUUGCCUAUCGCCUCCCUCUCUCAGUUUGUGUGAGAAACACAGUAUGAAUGAAGAUCACGGUAUUUUGCUAUGAUUGGCUGUACGUGGUUCGAGUCACGCUGAAGACCACGCCCCACAUUGUAUAUUAUGUCUAUGGUUCUUCUCGCUUGCGUCAGUGAGAGUUCCGCGGCGGCAGGAGUAGCACACGUUAGUGACUGCAGCGAUGCAUCCGAAGACCAGUUCUAAGACAGUAUUAGCAUGUAUUUUUGCUCUUGCGAGGUGUUCGUCUGCGGCAUGUAAAGAAUGCCCUGCAAAUCAGGAAAUUUCGUGUGAGAGCCUGCGCUCGUCCCAUGGAUACACAUACAGGGUGCCACCGGGAACCCUAUCCUCUGAAAACUGCGAACAAGGAUGGUACUAUCAGAAUGGGACGUUUAUUGUCGACUCAACUCCGAAUGCCGAUGGAAAGGGGUUAGCGGUUGUAGUGGCUGUCACGCCUCAGAAUCUUACACUGAGUGUCUGCGAAAACCUGCAGUGGCAACUUGACUGUGGCAAGUGUAGCUGUGUUAUCAAUUAUACAACAGCACGUGACCCCCUGCCAAGAAAUAAUACAACAUGGAAUGAAAAAGAUGGCAACGAUUUACCUGCCUGGGGGAUUGCUAUUAUCGUAAUCAUGGUUGUUGGAGCUGUUUCUGCCUUUAUUUUUUUCAUUGGAAAAAGGGCUUGUGAAAAAACAAAACCUGUACUUUAGUGGCGAUGAUUUGUGCCUUCGAGCAAAUCAUCUCAGGUUGCUACAGAGGGACUGUGCCUGGAAUACAUGUUAUAUAAGCCACUUUGGUAAAAAAAAAAACUUUAAAUUACCAAAAUAAUCACUAUUGUACUUUCUUUUUCUUUAUUUUCACAAACAUUGUUGCUUUAGUAGUUUUUAGCGUCUAACUUUUAUGGAUUGUAGAGCUUUGUGUGUGCUUUUUAAUUCAGUGUAACCUUAAAUCUGUCUGGUGCUUACAUGACAUACAGAACUAUAGAGGACACAGACAAUGAAAUUAAGAAAAAUCUAAAACAAAUAUUAAUAAUAAUGAUGAAUUAGAUCUUUUUAUAUAUCUUUGUAUUAUAUAUAUCAUAUACAUAAAUUUAUACAUAAAAAAGUGUAUGUAUGUGUAUNNNNNNNNNNNNNNNNNNNNNNNNNNNNNNNNCUAUUGAUUAAAUUAUAUAUAUAUAAAUCUAGCGUGGCAUAAAGAUCUAUAUUUACUUUGGAUAAUGUUUAGACUGUCAACACCACUUCACUGCCUAAAGCCACGUUCACACUGACCUCUUUUAAAUUUCUGGUGAUAAAAAUGAAUAAUGUCUGUUUUGUCAGUGUGAACCCUCUCUAAAGUCUAAGGCUUUGCGGAGCAAAGUAUUUGUACAACCAGGGCAAGUAUUUAAGUUGCAGCUGUGGAAGCAAAAUGCAAUGAAAUGCUGUGCCAGUGAGUACACACAUCUAAUGCAUUACUAGUUUAAUCCAAAGAAAACUUAUCAAAAGGGCACAGUAAACUGGGAAAGUACACUAAUUUUUACAUUGUCUGCUCCUAAGCUAUGCAUUCUUACCUUACGGGAUAGAUAAAGCACAGAAUAACUUUUGAGGAUUCUGCCAUUGAACUUUUUUACUGACAGCAAACUCUUACAUAAAAAAAUAUGAUGACAGUAUGUAUACCCAGAAUUAAUCAAAUUGGUUUUGUUGCUGUGUGCCAAGCUAUAUAUGAUAAAGUACUCUUUAUUUUGCAUACUAUUGAUUUGUCUAUACUGACUAUCAUUCCUUAAAAAGAAAGGAUGCUGUUACACUUUCCCUCAGUUUCACAGACAAGGCUUAAGCCUAGUCCUAGACUAAAAUGUAAGUCUGAGCUGUUUCAACUAAAACUUGCACUGACUGAUCUUAAAAUAUAUCAGUGCCUUUUUGUCUUGAGAUUCACAAACAAGUAAUUUUUUUGUUUGCUUGUUUUUUUCUAAGCAGUGCACAUUUAUAAAAAAUGCCUAUGUCCUAAUUGAACUAUGGUCUAAUCCUGGCUUAGUCGAAGCCCUGUCUGUGAAACCAGGCCAACGCCAUAUUGUGUGUAAUAAUAUGAUAUUGAUAAAUAAGUUUAGUGUCAGCUGUCAUUGUACUGUGAGAUUUAAAUUUGCACUUCUUGUAGAGAAUUAUGCAAAAUGUAUUAUAUUUCUGUCAUUAGCCGUGUAAGCAUUCUGCUUCAGUGUAUUUUUAAACAUUAUUUUUCAAGAGUAUUUUGAAUUUUUUUUUUGCUAUCUCCUUUGCUAUCUAGGCACCUAUCUUGUUGGAUGGCUUUCUGAUAAUAAAAUUUGAUAAGACCUUCA